This 341-nucleotide ribosomal RNA is filed under the name Escherichia coli. Its description in RNAcentral is "partial 23S ribosomal RNA". It matches the Rfam family "Bacterial large subunit ribosomal RNA", at positions 186 to 565 of the family's 2925-position model. The record is from RNAcentral. Lineage: Bacteria; Pseudomonadati; Pseudomonadota; Gammaproteobacteria; Enterobacterales; Enterobacteriaceae.
GGGGGAACUGAAACAUCUAAGUACCCCGAGGAAAAGAAAUCAACCGAGAUUCCCCCAGUAGCGGCGAGCGAACGGGGAGCAGCCCAGAGCCUGAAUCAGUGUGUGUGUUAGUGGAAGCGUCUGGAAAGGCGCGCGAUACAGGGUGACAGCCCCGUACACAAAAAUGCACAUGCUGUGAGCUCGAUGAGUAGGGCGGGACACGUGGUAUCCUGUCUGAAUAUGGGGGGACCAUCCUCCAAGGCUAAAUACUCCUGACUGACCGAUAGUGAACCAGUACCGUGAGGGAAAGGCGAAAAGAACCCCGGCGAGGGGAGUGAAAAAGAACCUGAAACCGUGUACGU